UACGUAGGUCCCGAGCGUUGUCCGGAUUUACUGGGCGUAAAGCGAGCGCAGGUGGUUUAUUAAGUCUGGUGUAAAAGGCAGUGGCUCAACCAUUGUAUGCAUUGGAAACUGGUAGACUUGAGUGCAGGAGAGGAGAGUGGAAUUCCAUGUGUAGCGGUGAAAUGCGUAGAUAUAUGGAGGAACACCGGUGGCGAAAGCGGCUCUCUGGCCUGUAACUGACACUGAGGCUCGAAAGCGUGGGGAGCAAACAGG
Molecule: ribosomal RNA, 252 nt
Filed under: uncultured bacterium
Lineage: Bacteria
Description: partial 16S ribosomal RNA
Rfam family: Bacterial small subunit ribosomal RNA
Source: RNAcentral